ACUAAGGUCCCGCCAUACGAUGCGCAAUAAUUGCAACCAACUUCCGCGAACUAAUACCUAACGGGGAGGAGAGUGGUAAAAAAAACGUGUGGGGGGGUAGUUUUUAGUACGUAUGUGCAAUGGGUGGCGAAUCGUGCAUGCUGCUCCUAAGAACCAGCAGUAUCUUUUGAAGAUUUUCUACUUCCAGCUCGC
This is a non-coding RNA of Glossina fuscipes fuscipes, 192 nucleotides long. The record is from Rfam. Lineage: Eukaryota; Metazoa; Arthropoda; Insecta; Diptera; Glossinidae.